Molecule: long non-coding RNA, 332 nt
Organism: Columba livia (rock pigeon)
Lineage: Eukaryota; Metazoa; Chordata; Aves; Columbiformes; Columbidae
Exons: 3
Source: RefSeq, a predicted model, not a curated record
GCUCUGCAUACAGUUACGGACCUUGCCUGAAAGUUUGCCUCUGGAACUUUAAACAUAGGCUCCAGAGUGAACGGUUAUCGGGGAGGAAAGACGCCUGAAAGUUUGCUUCGUAAACGGACACAGGCGCCUGGAAAGAAGGUUACUUCAUAUGAAAUACUUCCUCCAUUUGCUCGAAAACCUGGUGCUUGCUGAGGAAAAAAUUAUUUCCCAGGUGCUUGUUCCCACCUCUGCACAGUUCCUCCAGCACUUGUAGAACACUGUGACUCAGUCUGUUCAUCCUCCCAGUCAUCUGCAUUUCCCACUGCACUGGAUGAAAUGGCAGAGAUUGGCAG